RNAcentral lists this long non-coding RNA (1048 nucleotides) under Chloebia gouldiae (Gouldian finch). RNAcentral describes it as "Erythrura gouldiae (Gouldian finch) lncRNA (ENSEGOG00005010703.1)". Lineage: Eukaryota; Metazoa; Chordata; Aves; Passeriformes; Passeridae. The record is from RNAcentral.
CGCCCGCGCCCGCAGCAGCAGCGCCCGGCCCCGCCCCGCCGGGGACACUGCCAGGGGUCAGAGAGGGGCGGGGCCAUGAGCUGACCACGCCCUGAUACACCCAGACACACCCUGAUACACCCUGACCACGCCCAGCGCCCGCGCCCGCAGCAGCAGCGCCCGGCCCCGCCCCGCCGGGGACACUGCGAGGGAGGGGAGGGGCGGGGUUAUGGGGACACAUCCUGGCCACACCCAGACACACCCAGGUACGCCCUGACCACACCCAGACACACCCAGGUACCCCCAGACCACGCCCAGACACACCCUGACCACACCCACACACACCUGGACACAUCCAGACCACACCCAGACCACACCUGGACACACCCAGACACACCUGGACACGCUCUGGCCACACCCAGACCACGCCCAAACACACCUGAACACACCCAGACCACGCCCAAACACCUGGACACACCCAGACCACACCUGGAUACACCCCAGACACACCGGGACACACCCAGACCACACCUAGACACACCUGGACACGCUCUGGCCACACCCAGACCACACCUGGACACAUCUGGACACACCCAGCCACACCUGGACACACCCCAGACACACCUGGACACGCCCAGACCACACCUGGACACGCCCUGGACACACCCAGACACACCUGGACACGCCCAGACCACACCUGGACACGCCCUGGACACACCCAGCCCCACCCAGCCCACGCCCGGCCCCGCCCUGACCGUGGAUCUGCUCCAUCAGGCGCAGCGUCCGCUCCAUCUCGGCCACCAAGGGGUCAUCGGGGUCACCGCCGGGGUCACCGGAGGGGUCAGCGGGGUCACCGGAGGGGUCAGCGGGGUCACCUGAGGGGUCAGCGGGGUCAUGGGCAGGGUCACCGGCGGGGUCCCGGGCGGGCAGCGCGUCCCGGAAGCGAUAGAGCUCCGACACCAGGGCCUGGGAGGGAGCCAAAAUCGGCAGCAAUCAGCCCAAAGUGAGCUCCAAUUAAUGAAAAUAACCUUAAAAAGGAAAAAUCUGCGGAAAUGACCCAAAAUCACCC